RNAcentral lists this ribosomal RNA (472 nucleotides) under uncultured bacterium. RNAcentral describes it as "bacterial SSU rRNA". It matches the Rfam family "Bacterial small subunit ribosomal RNA", at positions 355 to 825 of the family's 1533-position model. The record is from RNAcentral.
UCGGGAAUUUUGGGCAAUGGGGGAAACCCUGACGAAGCAACGCCGCGUGGAGGAUGAAGGCCUUCGGGUCGUAAACUCCUGUCGACCGGGACGAACGCUAUUGGGCCCAAUACGCCCGAUAGUCGACUGUACCGGUGGAGGAAGCCACGGCUAACUCUGUGCCAGCAGCCGCGGUAAUACAGAGGUGGCAAGCGUUGUUCGGAAUUACUGGGCGUAAAGGGCGCGUAGGCGGUCCUGUCAGUCCCUUGUGAAAUCCCCGGCUCAACUGGGGAACUGCAAGGGAUACAGCAGGGCUUGAGUUCGGGAGAGGGAAGCGGAAUUCCGGGUGUAGCGGUGAAAUGCGUAGAUAUCCGGAGGAACACCGGUGGCGAAGGCGGCUUCCUGGACCGAUACUGACGCUGAGGCGCGAAAGCUAGGGGAGCAAACGGGAUUAGAUACCCAUGUAGUCCCUGAGCGGGCUGGCAAGGCGCAU